RNAcentral lists this ribosomal RNA (2742 nucleotides) under Klebsiella pneumoniae. RNAcentral's name for it is "bacterial LSU rRNA". It matches the Rfam family "Bacterial large subunit ribosomal RNA". Lineage: Bacteria; Pseudomonadati; Pseudomonadota; Gammaproteobacteria; Enterobacterales; Enterobacteriaceae. The record is from RNAcentral.
GAGGCGAUGAAGGACGUGCUAAUCUGCGAAAAGCGUCGGUAAGGUGAUAUGAACCGUUAUAGCCGGCGAUGUCCGAAUGGGGAAACCCAGUGUGAUUCGUCACACUAUCGUUAACUGAAUACAUAGGUUAACGAGGCGAACCGGGGGAACUGAAACAUCUAAGUACCCCGAGGAAAAGAAAUCAACCGAGAUUCCCCCAGUAGCGGCGAGCGAACGGGGAGCAGCCCAGAGUCUGAAUCAGCUUGUGUGUUAGUGGAACGGUCUGGAAAGUCCGACGGUACAGGGUGAUAGUCCCGUACACCAAAAUGCACAGGCUGUGAACUCGAAGAGUAGGGCGGGACACGUGGUAUCCUGUCUGAAUAUGGGGGGACCAUCCUCCAAGGCUAAAUACUCCUGACUGACCGAUAGUGAACCAGUACCGUGAGGGAAAGGCGAAAAGAACCCCGGCGAGGGGAGUGAAAAAGAACCUGAAACCGUGUACGUACAAGCAGUGGGAGCACCUUCGGGUGUGACUGCGUACCUUUUGUAUAAUGGGUCAGCGACUUAUAUUCUGUAGCAAGGUUAACCGUAUAGGGGAGCCGCAGGGAAACCGAGUCUUAACUGGGCGUUAAGUUGCAGGGUAUAGACCCGAAACCCGGUGAUCUAGCCAUGGGCAGGUUGAAGGUUGGGUAACACUAACUGGAGGACCGAACCGACUAAUGUUGAAAAAUUAGCGGAUGACUUGUGGCUGGGGGUGAAAGGCCAAUCAAACCGGGAGAUAGCUGGUUCUCCCCGAAAGCUAUUUAGGUAGCGCCUCGUGAACUCAUCUUCGGGGGUAGAGCACUGUUUCGGCUAGGGGGUCAUCCCGACUUACCAACCCGAUGCAAACUACGAAUACCGAAGAAUGUUAUCACGGGAGACACACGGCGGGUGCUAACGUCCGUCGUGAAGAGGGAAACAACCCAGACCGCCAGCUAAGGUCCCAAAGUCAUGGUUAAGUGGGAAACGAUGUGGGAAGGCACAGACAGCCAGGAUGUUGGCUUAGAAGCAGCCAUCAUUUAAAGAAAGCGUAAUAGCUCACUGGUCGAGUCGGCCUGCGCGGAAGAUGUAACGGGGCUAAACCAUGCACCGAAGCUGCGGCAGCGACACUAUGUGUUGUUGGGUAGGGGAGCGUUCUGUAAGCCUGCGAAGGUGUGCUGUGAGGCAUGCUGGAGGUAUCAGAAGUGCGAAUGCUGACAUAAGUAACGAUAAAGCGGGUGAAAAGCCCGCUCGCCGGAAGACCAAGGGUUCCUGUCCAACGUUAAUCGGGGCAGGGUGAGUCGACCCCUAAGGCGAGGCCGAAAGGCGUAGUCGAUGGGAAACAGGUUAAUAUUCCUGUACUUGGUGUUACUGCGAAGGGGGGACGGAGAAGGCUAUGUUAGCCGGGCGACGGUUGUCCCGGUUUAAGCAUGUAGGCUGGUUGUCCAGGCAAAUCCGGAUAAUCAAGGCUGAGGUGUGAUGACGAGGCACUACGGUGCUGAAGUAACAAAUGCCCUGCUUCCAGGAAAAGCCUCUAAGCAUCAGGUAACAUCAAAUCGUACCCCAAACCGACACAGGUGGUCAGGUAGAGAAUACCAAGGCGCUUGAGAGAACUCGGGUGAAGGAACUAGGCAAAAUGGUGCCGUAACUUCGGGAGAAGGCACGCUGGUGUGUAGGUGAAGUCCCUGCGGAUGGAGCUGAGACCAGUCGAAGAUACCAGCUGGCUGCAACUGUUUAUUAAAAACACAGCACUGUGCAAACACGAAAGUGGACGUAUACGGUGUGACGCCUGCCCGGUGCCGGAAGGUUAAUUGAUGGGGUUAUCCGUAAGGAGAAGCUCUUGAUCGAAGCCCCGGUAAACGGCGGCCGUAACUAUAACGGUCCUAAGGUAGCGAAAUUCCUUGUCGGGUAAGUUCCGACCUGCACGAAUGGCGUAAUGAUGGCCAGGCUGUCUCCACCCGAGACUCAGUGAAAUUGAACUCGCUGUGAAGAUGCAGUGUACCCGCGGCAAGACGGAAAGACCCCGUGAACCUUUACUAUAGCUUGACACUGAACAUUGAGCCUUGAUGUGUAGGAUAGGUGGGAGGCUUUGAAGCGUGGACGCCAGUCUGCGUGGAGCCAACCUUGAAAUACCACCCUUUAAUGUUUGAUGUUCUAACGUUGGCCCCUUACCGGGGUUGCGGACAGUGUCUGGUGGGUAGUUUGACUGGGGCGGUCUCCUCCCAAAGCGUAACGGAGGAGCACGAAGGUUAGCUAAUCCUGGUCGGACAUCAGGAGGUUAGUGCAAUGGCAUAAGCUAGCUUGACUGCGAGCGUGACGGCGCGAGCAGGUGCGAAAGCAGGUCAUAGUGAUCCGGUGGUUCUGAAUGGAAGGGCCAUCGCUCAACGGAUAAAAGGUACUCCGGGGAUAACAGGCUGAUACCGCCCAAGAGUUCAUAUCGACGGCGGUGUUUGGCACCUCGAUGUCGGCUCAUCACAUCCUGGGGCUGAAGUAGGUCCCAAGGGUAUGGCUGUUCGCCAUUUAAAGUGGUACGCGAGCUGGGUUUAGAACGUCGUGAGACAGUUCGGUCCCUAUCUGCCGUGGGCGCUGGAGAAUUGAGGGGGGCUGCUCCUAGUACGAGAGGACCGGAGUGGACGCAUCACUGGUGUUCGGGUUGUCAUGCCAAUGGCACUGCCCGGUAGCUAAAUGCGGAAGAGAUAAGUGCUGAAAGCAUCUAAGCACGAAACUUGCCCCGAGAUGAGUUCU